RNAcentral lists this ribosomal RNA (497 nucleotides) under uncultured bacterium. RNAcentral's name for it is "partial 16S ribosomal RNA". It matches the Rfam family "Bacterial small subunit ribosomal RNA", at positions 28 to 507 of the family's 1533-position model. The record is from RNAcentral.
GAUGAACGCUGGCGGCGUGCCUAAUACAUGCAAGUCGAGCGAACAGAUGAGGAGCUUGCUCCUCUGACGUUAGCGGCGGACGGGUGAGUAACACGUGGAUAACCUACCUAUAAGACUGGGAUAACUUCGGGAAACCGGCGCUAAUACCGGAUAAUAUAUUGCACCGCAUGGUUCAAUAGUGAAAGACGGUUUUGCUGUCACUUAUAGAUGGAUCUGCGCCGCAUUAGCUAGUUGGUAAGGUAACGGCUUACCAAGGCAACGAUGCGUAGCCGACCUGAGAGGGUGAUCGGCCACACUGGAACUGAGACACGGUCCAGACUCCUACGGGAGGCAGCAGUAGGGAAUCUUCCGCAAUGGGCGAAAGCCUGACGGAGCAACGCCGCGUGAGUGAUGAAGGUCUUCGGAUCGUAAAACUCUGUUAUUAGGGAAGAACAAAUGUGUAAGUAACUAUGCACGUCUUGACGGUACCUAAUCAGAAAGCCACGGCUAACUACGUG